RNAcentral lists this ribosomal RNA (384 nucleotides) under Triticum aestivum (bread wheat). Its description in RNAcentral is "partial small subunit ribosomal RNA". The record is from RNAcentral. Lineage: Eukaryota; Viridiplantae; Streptophyta; Magnoliopsida; Poales; Poaceae.
AUGAGAUUCCCCUCGCCCAGGGAUGUAGACAAGGCAUGUUUCGCUGAAACCAUGAAUAUAAAAAGCUGUGGAGCUGUGGUAAGUCUUAAGAAGUGGUCUGAAUCUGUUGGUGCCAAGGGUGUACUUAACAUUGCUUGGGUCAAUGUUAGCAACAUCCCUCUGGACAAAAGGCAUGAAAUGAACAUUGCAUAUGUUGGAUCUUUGGUGGGUGUGACCUUGGAAAUUGAUAAAUCCACUGUGAAUAGACCUGAAUCGGUCAGAAUUAAGUUGGGUUGCAGAGAUGCUGAAAAUAUUCCAGGAAAAGCUGAGGGAGUGCUGGGUGACCACUUUUAUGAUUUCUUCUACUCUGUUGACAAGAUUCUGGUUAAGAAUCCUCCAAAAUAA